Long non-coding RNA from Gorilla gorilla gorilla (western lowland gorilla), 9359 nucleotides. RefSeq lists it as uncharacterized. Lineage: Eukaryota; Metazoa; Chordata; Mammalia; Primates; Hominidae. The record is from RefSeq and is a predicted model, not a curated record. The transcript is spliced from 5 exons.
CCCUGCCGGUGCCCUCCCCGCCCGGCCCUAGCUCUCUCGCCUUCUCGCCCGCCCGGCGCUGGCCUUGCUGGAUCCUGCGCGCCGGGGACUGGGGGCUGGCAGUGCAGACCGAACCCGGGGCCGAGGGGCUUCUCCACAGAGCCGCCUGGGGCUCGGUGGGGGGCGCUCAGCUCGACCCCAGCUAAGGGAGCACUAGGAAGUGCGGGCGUCCCCUUCCCUGCACCCUUGCGGGGCGGGAACCGUCGACCUAGAAGAAAAAAAAAGCUGAGGCAAACUUGAUAUAAGUAGAGAGGUUAUUUGGGCCAAGUUUGAAGAUUGCAACCCGGGAGCAUAGCUUCAAGCUGCCCUGAACAUAGGAUUUGCUACAGUGACAAAGGUGAGGCCAGAGAAGUGACAAGACAGAUGCCAGUCCAGCAGGUGGGCAUGUCCAGAAAGUGCAGCCUCAGGACACGGUCUGGGAACAAAGACUGCUGGAGAGUUGGAAGCUGGCAAGAGGCUCUCAGCUGUGAAGUACCUGGGGUGGGGGAGAAGUGGUCGGAGAAAGCAGAGAACACAAUUGAAGACACUGGUUAUUCUAGCAAGGCUUUGACUGGAAUGGCAUAUUUUCAGAUAUGACCAGACUGCUCUGAGGAAUUCAGGUUGGCUUUAUAGAGUCAAUAAAAAGCUACUUGGAAAGAGUGGCCAUGUACCUUAUCUAUACAGUUCCCUUACAAGGUUCCUGAUCUUGAGGUAAGUAAAUAAUGUCCCUUUCUGACAGGCCCAGGAACCUCAAAUAUUUUGGGGCCUUGAGAAAAGAGGAACUCACCCAGUUCAUGCAGGUGUUACAGGCACAAUCUGAAGAUGAAUCUUUGGCUUUUUAAAGCCUCAGAUUAAAAAGUCUAAUCUGAAAUUCUCUAUGAAAAUUCCUUCAAAGCCAACUUGAAAAGAACCUUUAUGAUCAGUCAUGAUUCUUGUUCCACUUUAUGCAAAUAAUGAAGCUGAGUACAAUGCUAAAACUUAUUUUACAAGUAACUUGGUCCCACUAAGAUUUAUCUUUGGUAGAAAUGGGGAAUCUGAGAGAGAAAUAUUAUGUUUCAGAAGAAAACUAUUUUAUACCUAUUAAUAGAUUCCAGCCCUGAUGAUUGUUUCUGAGUUUUUAUUAUUUUCCUGCAAUCCUUAAUUAUUUCCUGGCUACAACAAGUCUUUAAAGAAGGGCUGGGUUUUAAUUUUCUUUAUGAUGUUUUUAGUUCACGCAUAAAUUGAAUUGUUUUUUUCUGUUCUGGCAUACACAUUUCUUUUUGAUUAUAAUUCUUAUGUGCAUUAUAUUUCUACUAUGUAUCUCUCUCUCUCUCUCUUUUUUUUUUUUUUGAGAUGGAGUUUCACUCUUGUUGCCCAGGCUGGAGUGCAAUGGCUUGAUCUUAGCUCACUGCAACCUCUGCCUCCUGGGUUCAAGUGAUUCUCCUGCCUCAGCCUCCAGAGUAGCUGGGAUUACAGGUGCUUGCCACCAUGCCCGGCUAAUUUUUUGUAUUUUUAGUAGAGAUGGGGUUUCACCAUGUUGGCCAGGCUGGUCUCAAACUCCUGACCUCAAGUGGUCCACCUGCCUCAGCCUCCCAAAGUGCCGGGAUUGCAGGCAUGAGCCACCACGCCCAGCUGUAUCUCUCAUUGUUUUACUUCUCCUAAGAAAACCAAAUUCAUGGUAUUCUGAAGACUAGAGAUGAUUCAACAGGCAACAGCAGUUAUAUAAAUUGAUGACUUGGCUGAGGUCUCAUUUUUGCCACCCUGCGAUGCCAUCCCAAUUUGGCUUUUGGCUUUCUUCAGAUUCCUCACUGAGAGGUAUCCUUCCCUGAUAUAAUUUAGAUAUUUGUCCUCACCCAAAUCUGAUAUUGAAAUAUAAUCCCCAACAUUGGAGGUGGGGCCUGGUGGGAGGUGGUUGGCUCACGGUGGUGGAUUUCUCACGAAUGGCUUAGCACCCUCCCUUUGGUGCUGUCCUGGUGAUAGUGGGUUCUCAUGAGAUCUGCUCUUUUAAAAGUGUGGCACCUCACCUGCCACUCUCUCCCUCUCUCUCUCUUGUUCCUGCUUUCCCUUUGUGACAUGCCCACUCCCCCUUUACCUUUUGCCCUGAUUGUCAGCUUCCUAAGGCCUUCCUAGAAGCUGAACAGAUGCCAGCACCAUGCUUCCUGUAAAGCCUGCAGAACCAUGUGCCAAUUAAACCUCUUUUCUUAUAUAUUACCCAAUAUCAGGUAUUUCUUAUUUUUAUUUAUUUAUUUACUUACUUAUUUAUUUAUUUUCAUGCAAGAUAGGUUCUUACUCUGUCACCCAGGCUAGAGUACAGUGGCACGACCAUGGCUCACGGCAGCCUUCUCCUCCCUAGGCUCAGGUGAUUCUCCCACCUCAGCCUCUCGAGUGACUGAGACUACAGGCAUGUACCACCAUGCCUGGCUAAUUUUUUUUGAAUUUUUAGUAAAGGUGAGGUUUUGCCAUGUUGCCCAGGCUGGUCUCAAACUCCUGGGCUCAAGCCAUCUUCCCACCUCGGCCUCCCAAAGUGUUGUGAUUACAGGCGCGAGCCAGUGCAGCCAGCUGGUUAUUUCUUUAUAGCAAUGCAAGAAUGGCUUAAUACAUCUCCCCUCCCCUAGAUGGGACAAGGCCAUCUGAUAAUUAACCUUCCUAGAAACUCAGGACUAAGCUCCUGAACAUAAAGGGAGCCAAAACAAUUUGCAUUUUUCUAUGAGGCCUUCUUUGAAAGGUCUUCAUGAAAAGGGGAGAAAUGGGGAAAAAAAUAGCACAGAGCAGUCUGAGCUAUGUGAGGUGUGCCAAAGUUAUCAGGCCCAGAGAGACAGGAGAGUGGGGCUUUUCGUUUUGUUUUUGUUUGAGACAACAUAGUGAGAGCCUGUCUUUAUAAAAAAUUUUAAAAAAUUAUCCAAGCAUAAGGGCAUGUGCCUGUGGUCCCAGCUACUGAGGCAGGCUGAGGAGAGAGGAUUGCUUGAAUCUGGGAGGUUGAGGCUGCAGUAAGCUGUGAUCACACCACUGCACUCCAAACUGGGUGACAGAGUGAGACCCUGUCUCAAAAAAAAAAAAAAAAGAACCCACUGCUGCUAAUUGGAGCAUCUAUUCAGGGGAACUUGAAUCUAGGCUCCCAGGUGGCCAUCCUUAAACUUUGGGCUUGAAUAAACUUUGUACUUAAUCAUAUUUUCUAAAUCUCAUUAUUUAAAGUCGAGAAUUCAUUCCUCCCUUCAUCUGUUCAUUCAUAUGUCUGUCCUUUCACCCACCAAUCCGCUCAUCUAGCCAUCCACCCAUUUGUCUGUUAGUCCAUCCAUCCAUCCAUCCAUCCACUCACCCAGACAUCCAUCCAUCCAUCCAUCUGUCCUUUCACCCACCCAUUUAUUCAUCCAUCCAUCCAUCCAUCCAUCCAUCCAUCCAUCCAUCCAUCCCAAUGAGUCAUCCAUCCAUCUAUCCAUCCAUCCAUCUGUCCGUCCAUCCAUCUUAUAUUUUGGGGGGCAUGUCUGAUGUGUCAGAUACUGUGGCAGGUGCACAGACACAAAUUCGGAAGACAGAUCUCCACUUAGAAGUCUGCCAGGCACCUCAGCUCAACAUAUCUCCAGCUGACUUCAUUUUAUCUUCCUCCUCCCAUCUCUUGACGUUCUGUUCAAGCAUUUAGUAAAUGCCUGUCAUCUAUAGCCUGAACCCACCUGGGUUGCCCUUAGUUGUCUGAUUCACAUCCAUUCUAAUUCCUUGGCUUCUCUCAACCAUGUCUGCUCCUUUUCCUCCUCUUGGCCAUUCCUGAGUGUACCUGGAUCACUACAGCAGUAUCUAUGCUGUUUCCUCCUUUUCUAGGUGACCAUUUGUCCUUCUGCCAGAGGGCUCUGUGGGAAAUACAGAUUCGAUCCUGCUGUUUCUUACUGGGAGCCCUCCAUGGCUCCCAGUCCCUGGAAUGGGCAACUUUCAGCUCUUGGUCGUGGGAGCCUCCUACCUGUGCAUGACAUUUAGCUUCACUUGAACCUGUGUUUGAAGCUUUAGUGAACACUGUCCUUGGGAGUAAGAAGUACUAGAAAAUUUAUGUUCAUCUGCAUCUUGUCACUGGGACAUGAGCAUAGGUGGUCUACCUUCAGUUUGGUCUGUGAACAGGAGGAUUACUUGAGCUCAGGAGUUCUAGUCCAGCCUGGGCAACAGAGCAAGACCCUGUCUCAAAAAGAAAGAAAUGACUAUAUGAGUUUGCUGCUCUUUAAAUCGAUGACUUUGCAGCUCUUCAUCUGAAGAGGUGGCGUCUGUUUCCCCUGUUUGAGUGUGGCACAUCCAGGAGAGUGGCUUUGAGCAGUGGUGUGGCAGACGUGACUGUAGGCCAGCCCUGAGCUGAGGCUGCCAGGGGACUGCACACUUCCUCUCUCAGCUCUGCCAGCUGCUGCACUGUGUCUGGGCCAGCCCGCUGGAGCACAGAGUUCAGUGCAUUGGGACAGCUACAGCCCAUUGCCUUGGGACAGCCCACAGCAACAAGACCCACCUGUCGCCACUGCAGGUGCGUGAGGGUGCCCGGCUGAGAGCAGACAAACCGCCUAGCAGGUGGCUUUUCAAGCGGAAUCACAGACUAGCUCCAUCGCUGUGGUGAACGUUCUCCCCAGUGCCAGGAUUCCACUUGGCCCCUGACUGCUUGAGCAGCCGACGUGACAGCCAUCUCUCUGCUGCCGUGCAUGUCGGCUGGGCUGGAGCCAGUGCAUCAGAAGUAGACGCAGAAGUGGAUCAGGAGCAAAACAUUCCAGAGAGCUGGCAGAAGCUGGCGUCUGGAGCCGCUGGGAUGCGGGUAUGGGCUCUCUCAGUGGCGGAGGAACAGCCUCCUGGCAGAACCAAAGGCUGCUUUGUGCCUUCGAUGCUGCUGCUGGCCAGAGUGGUUUUCUGUCUCAGACCCUGUACCAUGUGUCUGUUCUUUCUCAUUUUUUACUUAAAGGAGAAGAAAAUGAUUAUGUGUACAUGCUGGUGGCACACAUAACUUAGUAUUAAGUAUUACAAAAUCUUACAGGCAGGGCACAGUGGCUCACGCCUAUAAUCCCAGUAUUUUGGGAGGCUGAGGUGGGCAGAUCACCUGAGGUCAGCAAUUUGAGACCAGUCUGGCCAACACAGUGAAACCCCAUCUCUACUAAAAAUACAAAGAUUAGCCAGGUAUGGUGGCACACACCUGUAAUUCCAGCCACUCAGGAGGCUGAGGCAGGAGAAUCAUUUGAACCCGGGAGGCUGAGGUUGCAGUGAGCUGAGAUCACACCACUGCACUCCAGCCUGAGUGACGGAGUGAGACUCUGUUUCAAAAAAAGAAAAAACAGUCUGAAAAGUCUUACAGACCCAAGGAAGAAUUUGUCUUCCUCUGUGAGAGGGAAGAUGUGCUCUGAUGAUAUAGGAGAAAACCCCAAAAUCAGUAUCAGCCCACCAACCAGGGCAGUGAAGCUGCACCCAGACGCACCACACAUGGCAGUCCAUGAACAGCCGGGCUUUUGUAAAGGCCGGUGCUUUAUGGAAUGACGCUCUGCCGGGCCCGGGUUCUGGGGCUUCCAGUCACUCAGUCUUGUUUACUCAUCCACUGCGUAUUUCUUGAGCACCUCCUAUGAACCAGAUGCUGCUUGAGGAACUGGGGUUACCAGGGCAAAUGAGACCAGGCCCCUGCCCUCAGGGGCCCCAGGUUCAGGGGGAGAGAGAAGACAAAAAAAAGGAAAAGAAGUGAGCUAAUUUCAGACAGUGCUUAGAGCUGUGGAGAGAAUGCGUGGCACUUGGAUGAGCAGCCCAGAUGGUGAAGCAGCUGUAGUUGUGGUGUUGAGAGUGUGACCCUGAAAAGAUGUAGAGUUGAGAGUGAGUGAAGGCCCGGGGUCGGCAGGGGCGGGGUGGCGGCUGCAGCAUGAGCUCUAUGUGGAGGAGCAGUGAGCAGACCACUGUGUCCGGAACUUGGUGGGGGUCCGGGGCCAGGUGAGGCUGGCAGAGUUUGGGGAGGGGCUUCUGGCCCAAAUCAGGUGGGCUGUGGCACGGAGCAUGAUGUCAUCCUAAAACCAUCCUAAGGACACUUCAGACCGUCACUUUCUCAAUCUGGGCCUUGGUUUGUUGAUCUGUGGAAUGGGAGUUGCACUAGUUGAUUCCUGGGGUCCCUUCUGAAACCCCCAACUUUGUGAGUCCAUGACAUGAAACACAACCCCACUGCCAUGGUCUGCAGAAAGCUAUAAACUCUCCCUCCCCAGGGAGACAGACGCUCGUCUCCCUGGCUGCCCAAAGCACAGGGAGUCUCAUGUUCUGAUGGCUCUUUCUUUCUCUCUUUCUUUUUCUUUUUUCUUUUUUUUUUUAAGAUGGAGUCUCGCUCUGUCAUCCAGGCUGGAGUACAAUGGCGAGAUCUCAGCUCACUGCAACCUCCGCCUCCUGGGUUCAAGCAAUUCUCCUGUCUCAACCUCUUGAGUAGCUGGGAUUACAGGCAUGCACCACCACGCUCAGCUAAUUUUUGUGUUUUUAGUAGAGACAGGGUUUCACCAUAUUGGUCAGGCUGGUCUCGAACUCCUGACCUCAGGUGAUCCGCCCCCCCUCAGCCUCCCAAAGUGCUGGGAUUACAGGCGUAGCCACUAUGCCCGGCUUGGCUCUCACUUUCGUAUUCUUUCCAUGUAAUCACACAUGAAUGGUUGUCACAGGAUCUCACAGGGAAAUCAUUUAGCAAGUGAAUCUCAGUUUUUAAAAGGAAGGUGUUUGUGUUUUAUCAGCAUCUGUAAUUGAUCAGACCAUAUAGUUAAACCCCUAAGAAGACUUAAGGUCUUAUCUCCCUCAGCUGAGACUUCUGUGACAAACGCCACAGAUACGCAGAUUAAACAACAGAAAUUGAUUUCUCACAGUUCUGGAGCCUGGAAAUUCAAGAUCAAGCUGCUGGUCAGUGCUGUUCCUAGUCUCUCUUCCUGGUUUGCAGACAGCUGCCUUCUCAUUGUGUCCUUAGAUGGUGAGGAGAGAGAGAGAGUGAGCAAGCUCUCUUCUCUCUUCUUAUAAAGGCACUAACCUCAUUAUAGGGCCCCAUCCUCAUAACCUUAUUACCUCCGAGUCCUCACCUCCUAACACCAUAGGAGGUUAGGGUUUCAACAUUUUAAUUUUGAUAAAUAUUCAGUUCAUAACAGGUCUGCACCUGGGGUCCAUAUAGGUCAGUUUUAUUUCCAGCAGAAUAAUGGUGAUCUGUACCACCAUUACACCUGCCUGUAUGCAGGCAACCCAUAUUCAUGGCUUUCCAUAAAUGGCUUUAUUCUUUCCCAAAAUGGCAUUUUUAUUUCGCUUACUGUAUGUGUGAUUAAUACCUUCUCACGGUUCAAAAUAAAAAUAACCAAAAAGUCCCUUGCUGGCUCUGUGCUCAGCCUCCUACAACCUCACCAGGAGCAGCCAGUGUGACCAGUUUCAUGCGGGUCCUAGAGAUAUUUUAUGUAGUUACAAGCAAUUGCAUAUGUAUUUCCUGUUUUGGCAUAAAUGUUAGCACACCAUACAUAUGUUGUUCUCCAUGUUAUUUUUAUGUAAUAAGUUGGAGAUAUUUCCAUAUCUCUAGAAGGAAGGAGAUACGAAAACAAAGAAUUUCUUUUUGUGUGUGUGCCACAAUAGCAAAGAAAUUUCUUCAUUUUUUAAUGGUAAAAUACACGUAACAUAAAAUUCACCAUUUUAACCAUUUUACUAAUAAGUGUACAGUUCAGUGAUAUUAACUACAUUUGCAUUGUUGUGCAACCAUCACUACCACCAACCUCCAGAACUUUUUUUUGUCUUGCAAAAUCAAAACUCUGUCCCCGAUAAACACUAACUGCCUGUUCUCCUUCCCUCAGCCCCUGACACCUACCAUUCUAUUGUCCGUCUCUAUGCAUAUGACUCCUCUAAGAAACUCAAACAAGUGCAAUCAUUUGUUCUUUUGUGACUGUCUUUUUUUUUUUUUUGAGACAGAAUCUUGUUCUGUCGCCCAGGCUGGAGUGCAGUGGUGCGAUCUCAGCUCAUUGCAACUUGCGCUUCUGGGCUCAAGUGAUUCUCCUGCCUCAGCCUCCCAAGUAGCUGGGAUUACAGGUGUGUGCCACCACUCCCAGUGAUUUUUUUUUUUUUUUUUUUGUAUUUUUAGUAGAAACAGGGUUUCACCAUGUUGGUCAGGCUGGUCCCAAACUUGGAUUACAGGCGUGAGCCACUGCGCCCGGCCUGUGACUGCUUUAUUUUACUGAGCAUAUUGUCUUCAAGGUUCAUCCAUGUGGUAGCAUGUGUCAAAACGCCUUCCUUUCUAAAGGUGAAUAAUAUUUCACUGCAUGUAGAGACCACAUUGUGUUUAUCUGUUGACCUGUUGGUGGACGCCUGGGUUGUUUCCACCUCUUGGCUGUUGUGAAUGAUGCUGCUGUGAACAUGAAUGUGCAGAUUUCCUCAUUUUUCAACCACUGCAGGCUGUUCCACGCAGCAGAGGCUGGUACACCUACUCUCUACGGUGCACAUUUAGGGACUGUCCGUUUUUCACUAACACCAACAGCUGCAACAGUAAUCUUGUGCACAGGUGACUGCACACGUGCGACUCUGUAUUUGCAGGAUACAGUUCUAGAUGUGGCAUGGCUGCAUCAAAUGGAAUGUGCGUUUGUAAUUUGGUUACCCCAUGUCUCUAAGCCAUUUUAGUUUGGCAGCUGUUAGAAGCUGGUUCCGGAUCAAAUCUUGCAAGUGGCGGGAGGGUUGUGGGUGUCUUUAUCAGGCUGGAGUCAUGGAAAGAAUUUGCCCCUUUCAGACCUUGACCUCCGUUGGGGUUACAUCUUUAAAGGCACCGUCUUUUCACUUUGGAAAUGGAAGUGUUCCACUUGCUGUGCUGAUGGACACUAGAGGGCAGAGUUCUCCAUCUUUCAGGCAACGUGAAAGCUCAGUCCACUUCUCCACUUCUGCAACUACAGAGGUGAUUAUUUGGGACCACUGGAUUGGGGGAAGAAAGUCAGUGUUUCCCAAGGGGUACCGCACAGGACAGAGAACCAGUAUUGGAGCUCAGACAGGCUCGGGGGACUGGGAGAUGGAAGCCAUCGCCUUUACCUUGGGCAUUUCAUCUUAGGCCCCAUGGAAACAGGGGCCAUGGGUUGGUACUUAUCAUUUCUUUUAAACAGAUAAUGGCAUACAGUAAGUCCUCAGUUUCAUCACAGCUUCCUAGAAACUGUGACUUUAAGCAAGACAACAUAUAAUGAAACCAAUUUUACCAUAGGCUAGUUGAUAUAAACAAGAGUUAAAUUCCUAUGUCAUAGGCUGGGCGUGGUGGCUCACACCAGUAAUCCCAGCACUUUGGAAGGCCAAAGCGGGCAGAUCACCUGAGGUUGGGAGUUCAAGACCAGCCUGACCAACAUGGAGAAACACCGUCUCUACUAAAAAUACAAAAGUAGCUGGGUGUGGUGGUGCAUGCCUGU